UUGAAUCAUGCCUCGAUGCAGAAAUCAUGAUUACAAUUGGACGAUGAAUUGUGGAUUCUGUGAUUUCCACCGGUUCUUGUUCACCUAAUGCUCGCAAAUCAAAUACGUUUACAGUCUUCGAAGUGAAAGUUAGCGAAUGACUGAAUUUGGAUGAUUGCUUGUGUUCUUCAUCAAUCAUCAGCUUCCGCUCUUCACUUCCAGAUGGACGAUGGAGCUAUUUGAUUCGUUCUAAUCGCUAUUGAGCAUUCGAGUAAGUUAUGGUCUUCGAAGAGAAACUUGAUGAAUGACUGAAUUUGGAUGAUUACUUGUGUUCUUCAUUAACCAUCAGCUUCCGCCAUCUAAUCGCUAUUUAAAGUUCGAGUAAGGUGCAGGUUUCUGAGUCCUAUUUGUCACAAUGUCAUUCCGAUUCUUCUGUUCAUGUUUUUGAUCCGUUUAUAAUCACUAUUGGUAAUUCAAUGCAGAUUUUGUAAAUUUAUCUGUUUUGAUAACAUUGAAACUAUUCUGUUCUU
Cynara cardunculus var. scolymus (artichoke) is the source of this 509-nucleotide long non-coding RNA. RefSeq lists it as uncharacterized. The transcript is spliced from 3 exons. The record is from RefSeq and is a predicted model, not a curated record. NCBI's taxonomy places the organism in Eukaryota, Viridiplantae, Streptophyta, Magnoliopsida, Asterales, Asteraceae.